This 406-nucleotide ribosomal RNA is filed under the name uncultured bacterium. Its description in RNAcentral is "partial 16S ribosomal RNA". It matches the Rfam family "Bacterial small subunit ribosomal RNA", at positions 30 to 526 of the family's 1533-position model. The record is from RNAcentral.
AUUGAACGCUAGCGGCAUGCCUAACACAUGCAAGUCGAACGAGUGGCGGACGGGUGAGUAAUGUAUGGGAAACUGCCUGAUGGAGGGGGAUAACUACUGGAAACGGUGGCUAAUACCGCAUACCAUCGGAUGUGCCCAGAUGGGAUUAGCUAGUAGGUGGGGUAAAGGCUCACCUAGGCGACGAUCCCUAGCUGGUUUGAGAGGAUGACCAGCCACACUGGAACUGAGACACGGUCCAGACUCCUACGGGAGGCAGCAGGGGGGAAUAUUGCACAAUGGGCGAAAGCCUGAUGCAGCCAUGCCGCGUGUAUGAUGAAGGCCUUCGGGUUGUAAAGUACUUUCGGCAGGGAGGCGUUACCCGCAGAAGAAGCACCGGCUAACUCCGUGCCAGCAGCCGCGGUAAUAC